GGGGUAUUCGUAUAUGUGGUUAAUACAAUUGAUUCUAACUCAAUAAAAAAGGGUUCGAGUCCUUUAUACUCCA
This 73-nucleotide transfer RNA is filed under the name Batrachochytrium dendrobatidis. Its description in RNAcentral is "tRNA-OTHER". It matches the Rfam family "tRNA". From Rfam's summary of the family: Transfer RNA (tRNA) molecules are approximately 80 nucleotides in length. Lineage: Eukaryota; Fungi; Chytridiomycota; Chytridiomycetes; Rhizophydiales. The record is from RNAcentral. RNAcentral also lists the same sequence under 1 other name.